UACGUAGGGUGCGAGCGUUGUCCGGAAUUAUUGGGCGUAAAGAGCUUGUAGGCGGGUUUUGUCGCGUCUGCUGUGAAAAUCCGGGGCUCAACCCCGGACUUGCAGUGGGUACGGGCAGACUAGAGUGUGGUAGGGGAGACUGGAAUUCCUGGUGUAGCGGUGAAAAUGCGCAGAUAUCAGGAGGAACACCGAUGGCGAAGGCAGGUCACUGGGCCGCAACUGACGCUGAGGAGCGAAAGCAUGGGGGAGCGAACAGG
This 257-nucleotide ribosomal RNA is filed under the name uncultured bacterium. RNAcentral's name for it is "partial 16S ribosomal RNA". It matches the Rfam family "Bacterial small subunit ribosomal RNA", at positions 524 to 776 of the family's 1533-position model. The record is from RNAcentral.